This 460-nucleotide ribosomal RNA is filed under the name uncultured bacterium. Its description in RNAcentral is "partial 16S ribosomal RNA". It matches the Rfam family "Bacterial small subunit ribosomal RNA", at positions 338 to 795 of the family's 1533-position model. The record is from RNAcentral.
CCUACGGGUGGCAGCAGUGAGGAAUAUUGGUCAAUGGGCGCGAGCCUGAACCAGCCACGUAGCGUGAAGGAUGACUGCCCUACGGGUUGUAACCUUCUUUUAUAAAGGAAUAAAGUGAGGCACGUGUGCCUUUUUGUAUGUACUUUAUGUAUAAGGCUCGGCUAACUCCGUGCCAGCAGCCGCGGUAAUACGGAGGAUCCGAGCGUUAUCCGGAUUUAUUGGGUUUAAAGGGAGCGUAGAUGGGUUGUUAAGUCAGUUGUGAAAGUUUGCGGCUCAACCGUAAAAUUGCAAUUGAUACUGGCAGUCUUGAGUACAGUUGAGGUAGGCGGAAUUCGUGGUGUAGCGGUGAAAUGCUUAGAUAUCACGAAGAACUCCGAUGGCGAAGGCAGCUUACUAAACUGCCACUGACACUGAUGCGCGAAAGUGUGGGUAGCAAACAGGAUUAGAUACCCUAGUAGUC